CCUACGGGAGGCAGCAGUGAGGAAUAUUGGACAAUGGGCGCAAGCCUGAUCCAGCCAUGCCGCGUGCAGGAAGACGGUCCUAUGGAUUGUAAACUGCUUUUGUACAGGAAGAAACACUCCCUCGUGAGGGAGCUUGACGGUACUGUAAGAAUAAGGAUCGGCUAACUCCGUGCCAGCAGCCGCGGUAAUACGGAGGAUCCAAGCGUUAUCCGGAAUCAUUGGGUUUAAAGGGUCCGUAGGCGGUUUAAUAAGUCAGUGGUGAAAUCUGGUCGCUCAACGAUCAAACGGCCAUUGAUACUGUUAGACUUGAAUUAUUAGGAAGUAACUAGAAUAUGUAGUGUAGCGGUGAAAUGCUUAGAUAUUACAUGGAAUACCAAUUGCGAAGGCAGGUUACUACUAAUGGAUUGACGCUGAUGGACGAAAGCGUGGGGAGCGAACAGGAUUAGAUACCCUGGUAGUCCACGCCGUAAACGAUGGAUACUAGCUGUUCGGAGCAAUCUGAGUGGCUAAGCGAAAGUGAUAAGUAUCCCACCUGGGGAGCAACGUUCGCAAGAAUGAAACUUNAAAGGAAUUGACGG
RNAcentral lists this ribosomal RNA (578 nucleotides) under uncultured bacterium. Its description in RNAcentral is "bacterial SSU rRNA". It matches the Rfam family "Bacterial small subunit ribosomal RNA", at positions 338 to 916 of the family's 1533-position model. The record is from RNAcentral.